Molecule: non-coding RNA, 87 nt
Organism: Fusarium redolens
Lineage: Eukaryota; Fungi; Ascomycota; Sordariomycetes; Hypocreales; Nectriaceae
Source: the annotation of a RefSeq genome assembly
GGUCGAGUGGUGUAGUGGUUUAUCACGUUCGCCUCACAGCUAUCAGUUGUUCGCGAAAGGUCCCGAGUUCAAUCCUCGGUUCGACCU